RNAcentral lists this microRNA precursor (155 nucleotides) under Podarcis lilfordi (Lilford's wall lizard). The record is from RNAcentral. Lineage: Eukaryota; Metazoa; Chordata; Lepidosauria; Squamata; Lacertidae.
GGAAGAAUGUUGUGGCAUCAAUGUUUGAUUUGUAAAGAUGAUUUUUCAGUCAAUAGCCAAUAGUACCAUCUGUACUGAGAUUAGAUUAUACUAUUGGCUAUUGACUGAAAAAUCAUCUUUACAAAUCAAAUAUUGAUGCCACAACAUUCUUACUG